GAUAAGUACUGUGGAGAAGUAUCAAGAAAAAUUUAAAGACAUGAGAGCUAGGAUGAUACAAUAUAAUCUAGCAUUAAUUGAAAGGUAUUUUAUAGAAAGCUAUAUCAGUGGGUUGAAGGAAGAAUUGAUACCCUAUAUUGAUUUAUCUCAUCCUACAACUUUAGAAGAGGUGUAUGAACAAGCUAAAUUACAUGAACAGGUUUUGUUAAUGAUAUGGAAAAGGAGCAAAAUGAUUUACAAAACACCCACAACUAAGUCAGCAUAUUAUUUUCACCCUAAACUAGCAGUA
RNAcentral lists this long non-coding RNA (289 nucleotides) under Elaeis guineensis (African oil palm). RNAcentral describes it as "long non-coding RNA (EGUI_LNC022146)". Lineage: Eukaryota; Viridiplantae; Streptophyta; Magnoliopsida; Arecales; Arecaceae. The record is from RNAcentral.